Molecule: long non-coding RNA, 3834 nt
Organism: Gasterosteus aculeatus aculeatus (three-spined stickleback)
Lineage: Eukaryota; Metazoa; Chordata; Actinopteri; Perciformes; Gasterosteidae
Source: Ensembl
UGAAUAUACAACUUUUUUAUUAUGAGUAUACAAACCCUUUCUAUUACAAAUAUUAAACCUUCAUACUUCAACUCAGUGGCGGCUGGCCAAUAGAAAACAGUGAGGCGUCGCCCCACCUUCUGCGUCCCUCCUUGAGCUCAAGAAAACAAAAAGAAAGGAAAAUAGAAUAUUAAAUUAUAAAAAAUGUCAAUAUUUGAAUUUUUAAAACAUUGAAUGUACCCGUAAUAUUUGUAAAAUAUGAUAUCAGCGCAGAAUAACUGCUUUUCCUGCACGUCCUGCCUGUCACACGCACGUCCCAUCUUCAUGUGUGUUCUGGCUUCACAUGGUUGCCCGCAGAAGGCGGGUCUAAGAAUCAAUUCAGCCAAUUGCUGAUUAAUUAAUAGUGGGUGACAUACACUUCAGCCAAUCAGCAUCAUUAAUAUAUGCCCCCAAGCUUGCACAUUCUCGUCAAGGCUGGUAUCGACAGGCAGAUGACAUUUCGGAGGAAGCAACGAGCACAGAUUUUUUUAACUGUCAAGCAGACAAGACGACUGACAUAUAUAGAUUAAUAUUAUUAUAUAUAUAGAUUAUAAUAUACUAAUUUGCCCGUGAAGGUGACAAAAAUAAGAUUGUCAAAGUGGUAUUUACUGCUUGUUUCAUGUUGGAACAAAUAAUACUAAAAAAUCUCCUAAAUUGAUUCAAUUGCCCUACCUAGAACAUUUUACCCCAGCCGCCGCUGCUUCUAGUUUAGUCACACUACUAGUACAUUUUUACAUACUUCUGCCAGUAGUACUACUUCAACCACUACUCAUACUUCUAUGACUAGCACUACAUCUACCAAUAUGAAUGCUUUAUUUUAGGCCUACUGCUACUAGGACAUUACUUCUGUCCCGUGUACUUCUAAUUCUACUGGUAUGACUCUUACUUACUGGACCCAUUUACACUAAUACUCUACUACUACGGCUGCUUAUAGAAGGUCUAUUACUACUGGUAGUACUAGCCUUAAUAGUACUGCUAGUCUGGACCGUAAGUCUGAAAUACAAGUUUGACUGAUUGAAUAGUUUAGAGUUUAGUCACUUUAAAGUGCUGCAUUUGGAGGCAGGAGAGUAUAAGGAGGGUUAGGGGGGGUGAGGAAACACAUUUCUACCAGACCACGAGACACAAACUCAUCAUACCAUGUAUGUGUGUGUGUGCGCGCGCGUGUGUGUGUCUUUCUCCCACUUCCUUGUCUCACUUCUUCUUUGUCGAGGACUAUGGGAGUGGUUAGGGAACUGGUUACCAUGGCAACAUGUUCACAUCAACCGCUGUGAGUGGUCGUAUUAAGUCUAGUAGUAAUGGUAGUACUGGUGGUAGUGGACCUUCUAUAAGUAGUAGUAGUAAUAUUAGGCAUAUUACAGUACAAAGCAUUAAAUAAAAUAAAAUACACAGUAAUACACUGUAUACACAGUGUAUUACAGUAAUACACAGUAAUACACUGUAUACAGAAUAUUUCUUAUUAAUAUUAACUUAAACUUGACUCAAUAAAAUAUUAGAAACAUUUCAAUUAUUGUGACGAAACGUUUUAUUUAGAUCGUUAUAGAGAAAAGUGAUAAUCUCUGCAAAGAUGAAUAGAUAAACUCACGCAUCAAGACCUUCCACUUCCUACCACACAAUGUGACAAUUGUCAAGGUAAGAACAGACUCCUCCCCUCUUGUCUUUAUAAAUCAUAUCCCGCAAUAUUAAGUUGAGUGUUUUAUGUCUAUCUAUUUUUGUAUAUCUAUAACUAGAUGCAUGUUAUGGAGGAAUGUAAGAUUACCUAAACUAUAAGAACCUGUAAAAUUUCUGGCUAUGCUAUUGCAAAUAAAAUUAAUUGAAUGUAGUAUUCAUAUGGCUGAUAUUCCUUGAAAAUCUGAUAUUACUAGUUAUUAAUUCAAGUAUCUCGUAAUGUUUUUAUACAGCGCUCAUUAUGUCUUUUUAUUCAGGUGCAUAGAUAAUCAAAACUCAAGUAUCUUGAUUAAUAGAUGGCAUUAUUCAAAGUAGUAAGUUUGAGUCUGAGUUUGACUACUGACUACAGUAAUACAGUACGAUGGAACAACUGAUCCUGAGUCAGCCAACCAAAGGCUCUACACAUGUAAGGUGAAAAGUUCCUUGAAGUGUAUGGUUAAUAUUUUGUGGAUGUAAAUAGUCAACAGUUCAUGAAACUUAAUGGUAAACAUUUAAUGGAAGUUAAUGGUAAAUAGUUUAUGGGCGUUGAUGGUCUGGAGUUAAUGGAAGUUCUCCUCAAUAGUUCAUUGAAGUUAAUGAUCAAUAUUUAAUUGAAGUUAAUGGUUAAUAGUUCAUGGAAUAUAAUAGUCCAUAGUUCAUGGAAGGAAAUGCUAAACAGUUCAUGGUGAAGUGCAUUAUAUAUUAUAUUUCAAUAAUCAUUUGAGCCUCUGGCUUAUGAUUUUAAAGGUAGAUUCAUGACAGAAAUAUCACUGUAUGUUUUAAAUUUGAAUAAAGAAAUAUUCUAAAUGUUCUUUGAUGUUUAUUAAUUGUUUUUAUGUCGUUCAUAAACUAUAACUUGGUUGACUUAAAAAAGAAAAACUUUAAAAAAUGUGUUAAUAAAACAAGAUGCUUGGUUAAGUUAACUUUUAAGAUGUUUACAUAAUGUAUACUUUAUGUAAACACUUUUUUCAUGUUUCAUGUACAAUUCAAGAAGUCAAUACAAGUUUGUUGCGCAAACUAGUAGUUUUAAGUUGUCUCAACCAUGAUUUUUUACAUUUUUACAUCAAAUACGUUUUUUACAUUUUGAAAUGUAUUGCAGGUAUCAAUAAAAACGUGUUGGUUAAAUUCAAAUACCGUAGUCACCUCAACUAUUCAUUCUAAGUUAAAGAACCAAAUCUUUUAUAAACUUAACAUUUUGAGGCAGUCAGGUUACUCAUUAUUUUAAGGUGAACAAAGCUCACUAUUCUUCACAGUGAGUAUAUAAAACAUGCGUAAAGCAAUAAAUAUAUGGUUGUAGUGUUUUCACCCAUUGGCUGAGACACCAUCAAAGAGAACACACAUUUAACAACUUUGCUUUAAAAAUCCGUGGAACGGGAUUUCUGGAGUUCUAACUUCAGUCGUCUUCACUGCAGGUGAUCACCAUGACAUCCCGCCCGCUUCCAUGAUGAUGGACGCCGCCCAGUCACCUGACCAAUCUAACGCCAGCCCCGCCCCCCGGGUGUCGGAGCCGUUACAGGAACAGUCGGACACGCUGUGGAGGAAGGAGGUCCUGGACCUGCUCACACAGCUGGUCCUGGUCCAGAAGGAGAUGGCCCAGCAUCAGGUUCAGGUGGUGCAGCUGCUCAACAUGCUGGGAACUCAGGGCUCUCAGCAGAUCCUGGAUCUGCAGAACAUGGCUCGUCACCAGAGUCUGCUGGUUGAGAACCAUCAAGCUUUACUUCUGCAGACGUCUCGCAUCUCCACACAGCUGCAGGAGAUCAACAGGAAACCUGCCUCCUGCCAAUGAGAUCCUCUGGUUAUUUACUUGCAAGCAAUGGGAUCUUCUGGUGCUCAACUGGCAGGCAAUGGGAUUGUCUAAUUCUUCACAGAUCCUAUGCACUCUAAUCAUUACUAAUGAUUAACAGUGUGAUGAUAGAUAUAAACUUUAACCAAACAUUUAUUAAAAAAAAUUACAACAUUUUAGAAUCAAAUAAUUGAUUUCUAUGUUUCAUUAAAUAACCUUAAAAGUGAACUGCUGCUUUCUUUUCACCUGAAGCAAUCAGCUUCUUUUGUUAUAAUGUGUUGUAUGUUCUGAUGUUUCUAUUAAUAAAUUACAUCUUGUUUGAUUAUCUUUCUGGUGGUUGCGUUUCUGUGUACUGCAGUACAUAAAGUUGUGUACUGGUUCUCUGAGAC